UACGUAGGGCGCAAGCGUUGUCCGGAAUCAUUGGGCGUAAAGCGCGCGUAGGUGGCCCCAUAAGUCCGCUGUGAAAGUCAAAGGCUCAACCUUUGAAAGCCGGUGGAUACUGUGGGACUAGAGUACGGAAGAGGCGAGUGGAAUUCCUGGUGUAGCGGUGAAAUGCGCAGAUAUCAGGAGGAACACCGAUGGCGAAGGCAGCUCGCUGGGACGGUACUGACGCUGAGACGCGAAAGCGUGGGGAGCAAACAGG
RNAcentral lists this ribosomal RNA (253 nucleotides) under uncultured bacterium. RNAcentral's name for it is "partial 16S ribosomal RNA". It matches the Rfam family "Bacterial small subunit ribosomal RNA", at positions 524 to 776 of the family's 1533-position model. The record is from RNAcentral.